UACGUAGGGCGCGAGCGUUGUCCGGAAUCAUUGGGCGUAAAGAGCUCGUAGGCGGCCGGUUGCGUCUGCUGUGAAAUCCCGGGGCUUAACCCCGGGCGUGCAGUGGAUACGGGCUGGCUGGAGGCAGGCAGGGGAGAAUGGAAUUCCCGGUGUAGCGGUGAAAUGCGCAGAUAUCGGGAGGAACACCGGUGGCGAAGGCGGCAUCCUGGACCAAUAUUGACGCUGAGGAGCGAAAGCCAGGGGAGCAAACGGG
This 253-nucleotide ribosomal RNA is filed under the name uncultured bacterium. Its description in RNAcentral is "partial 16S ribosomal RNA". It matches the Rfam family "Bacterial small subunit ribosomal RNA", at positions 524 to 776 of the family's 1533-position model. The record is from RNAcentral.